This 76-nucleotide transfer RNA is filed under the name Pseudomonadota bacterium. Its description in RNAcentral is "tRNA-Lys". It matches the Rfam family "tRNA". From Rfam's summary of the family: Transfer RNA (tRNA) molecules are approximately 80 nucleotides in length. Their secondary structure includes four short double-helical elements and three loops (D, anti-codon, and T loops). Further hydrogen bonds mediate the characteristic L-shaped molecular structure. tRNAs have two regions of fundamental functional importance: the anti-codon, which is responsible for specific mRNA codon recognition, and the 3' end, to which the tRNAs corresponding amino acid is attached (by aminoacyl-tRNA synthetases). tRNAs cope with the degeneracy of the genetic code in two manners: having more than one tRNA (with a specific anti-codon) for a particular amino acid; and 'wobble' base-pairing, i.e. permitting non-standard base-pairing at the 3rd anti-codon position. RNAcentral also lists the same sequence under 2 other names. Lineage: Bacteria; Pseudomonadati; Pseudomonadota. The record is from RNAcentral.
GGGCCGUUAGCUCAGUUGGUAGAGCUGGAGACUCUUAAUCUCUAGGUCGUAGGUUCGAGUCCUACACGGCCCACCA